Molecule: ribosomal RNA, 914 nt
Filed under: Microbacterium oxydans
Lineage: Bacteria; Bacillati; Actinomycetota; Actinomycetes; Micrococcales; Microbacteriaceae
Description: bacterial SSU rRNA
Rfam family: Bacterial small subunit ribosomal RNA
Source: RNAcentral
CUUGCUCUGUGGAUCAGUGGCGAACGGGUGAGUAACACGUGAGCAACCUGCCCCUGACUCUGGGAUAAGCGCUGGAAACGGCGUCUAAUACUGGAUAUGUGACGUGGCCGCAUGGUCUGCGUCUGGAAAGAAUUUCGGUUGGGGAUGGGCUCGCGGCCUAUCAGCUUGUUGGUGAGGUAAUGGCUCACCAAGGCGUCGACGGGUAGCCGGCCUGAGAGGGUGACCGGCCACACUGGGACUGAGACACGGCCCAGACUCCUACGGGAGGCAGCAGUGGGGAAUAUUGCACAAUGGGCGCAAGCCUGAUGCAGCAACGCCGCGUGAGGGAUGACGGCCUUCGGGUUGUAAACCUCUUUUAGCAGGGAAGAAGCGAAAGUGACGGUACCUGCAGAAAAAGCGCCGGCUAACUACGUGCCAGCAGCCGCGGUAAUACGUAGGGCGCAAGCGUUAUCCGGAAUUAUUGGGCGUAAAGAGCUCGUAGGCGGUUUGUCGCGUCUGCUGUGAAAUCCGGAGGCUCAACCUCCGGCCUGCAGUGGGUACGGGCAGACUAGAGUGCGGUAGGGGAGAUUGGAAUUCCUGGUGUAGCGGUGGAAUGCGCAGAUAUCAGGAGGAACACCGAUGGCGAAGGCAGAUCUCUGGGCCGUAACUGACGCUGAGGAGCGAAAGGGUGGGGAGCAAACAGGCUUAGAUACCCUGGUAGUCCACCCCGUAAACGUUGGGAACUAGUUGUGGGGUCCAUUCCACGGAUUCCGUGACGCAGCUAACGCAUUAAGUUCCCCGCCUGGGGAGUACGGCCGCAAGGCUAAAACUCAAAGGAAUUGACGGGGACCCGCACAAGCGGCGGGAGCAUGCGGGAUUAAUUCGAUGCAACGCGAAGAACCCUUACCAAAGGCUUUGACAUAUACGAGAACGGG